GUCCACAAGGGUGAGUACCGGCUCUUCCCGGGUAAAGUCUUGGUCAAAAUUAUUAACGUCUCUUUUGGUUUUCUGUGGGAAGAAAAGAGAAAGUGCUGAGUCGAGGCUGCCCUCCCUCCUGAGGGCCCCCCACGGGGAGUGGGCGCUGCACUGACCAGCCUGUCACCAAAGCAGGCCUCUAGCUACCAACAGACAGCAGACACAGGGCUGUUCCGAUGAGGUAAUGAUGGAUGGCCCCAGGACCGGGAGGUGACAAAGGAGGACAGGAAGAAUGAGUCAAGACCAAGAGCUUCUUAAAGGCAGAGACCUUGUCUUAUUCAACCUUGGGUUCCCAGCAGUUCCCCAGCAAUAAGUGUCUACUGAAUGAAGUAAGUAAACUCACUACUGACUCCCCAGCUCUGAAGGACCCACACCUCUGGGUUCAAGUUCCCAAGUUCUUUGCAGAUGUAAUCAAACGAGAAUGAGGUCAUCAGGGUGGGCCCUGAUCCAAUAUGACUGGUGUCCUUGUAAGACGGGAAAUUGGACACGGAGACAGACACGCACAGAGGGGAGACUGUGUGAAGAGACACAGGGACACGUGUGUGAAGACUGAAGCUGUGCUGCACGAGCCGAUGAAUGUCUGCGGCUACCAGAAGCUGAAAGAGGCACGGGAAGAUUCUUCUGCAGGUUUCAGAGGGAGCAAGGCCCUGCCAACACCUUGAUUUUAGAUUUCUAGCCUCAAACCGUGAGAUAACACCUUGUUAUCUUCUUGUCAUUUCUGUUGUUCUAAGCCACCCCCAGGUUUUGGUACUUCGUUACAGUAGCCCUGGGCAACUAAUACAAACUCCAAUCUUAUUUUUCUGAAAUUGAUAAAAAUUUUUCUUUAAAAAGUAGAUAAAGUAGAGAGUUGAAAUCUCACUGUAUUGCCCUGGUUGGUCUUGAACUCCUGGGUUCAAGCGGUCCACCCACUUCGACCUUCCAAACUGCUGGGAUCACAGGGGUGAGCCACCAUACCCAGCCUGAAAUUGGUUUUUAAAAUCCAAACAUCAUCCUUUACACUUAACCUUGAUUUCUUAUUUUGGAGCAUAUUUCUAGCCUGUCAAGAGCACCAUGAUUCUGCAACGUACCUCUCUGAAUUUCAGUGUAUUUACCUAGGAAGUAGAGAUAACAAACACACCUAGCUUUCUGAGGGUUAUAGGUAAACUCUAAAAUACAAUGCAAAUGCUAUUCUAAUUCUAUCAUCCAUCUUAUCUACUCUAUCUUCCAGCUCUAUGUCAACCCAAACUUUGAUUGGCAUGCCUCCAAUCUCUCUAUGGGGACACUUAUACAAAUAUUAUUUAGGACAGGAUAAGGCUCAGAGCUCUUUGACCUGGCCCCUGAAACAGCCCUCUCACAAAGUCGACAUCGAGUUCCACCAGCAUUCUUUGGGGUGCGGUUGUUAAAUUCAUUGAGAAGCAACCAGCCAUGGUCACUGUUUCAUUUUGCUCAGUUGCUUUGCUGGAAUAAAGAUAUAAA
Long non-coding RNA from Cebus imitator (Panamanian white-faced capuchin), 1494 nucleotides. RefSeq lists it as uncharacterized. Lineage: Eukaryota; Metazoa; Chordata; Mammalia; Primates; Cebidae. The transcript is spliced from 3 exons. The record is from RefSeq and is a predicted model, not a curated record.